This 69-nucleotide transfer RNA is filed under the name Marmota monax (woodchuck). RNAcentral describes it as "tRNA.Ala". Lineage: Eukaryota; Metazoa; Chordata; Mammalia; Rodentia; Sciuridae. The record is from RNAcentral.
GGAAUGUAGCUCAGUGGUAGAGUACUUGCCUGGCAUGCACAAAGACCUUGGAUUCAAUCCCUAGCACCA